AGCGCCUCCUUCUCUGAAUCCUGUUCUCCCGUUCAAUGGAUCUUUCACGGGAAAACCCACCGCAGGGAAUCAAGAAAAGGGGAAGGAAGGCCAAGAAAGUGCCCCUAGUCGAUGGCAAAGAGCCUCGGAAAGCCAACUUCAUCAAGAAAAUCAUCAAUGGUGAUAAACCAACUCAGGCUAAAAGUUUUGACAAGCGAAAGCCAACUCUGAUGAAGAAGGCUUUUGAGCUCCAGACACUGUGUGGCGUUGAAG
Molecule: unclassified non-coding RNA, 252 nt
Filed under: Hevea brasiliensis (rubber tree)
Lineage: Eukaryota; Viridiplantae; Streptophyta; Magnoliopsida; Malpighiales; Euphorbiaceae
Source: RNAcentral